GCAUGUUAAUGUAUCAGCCAACACCUCUCCUGUGCACCUAUGGCAGACAUCAUUAAUCCAUCAAGGCACUCUCCUGUUUAGCCCAGUCCCAGCUUCAGAGCUCUUCUCAGUAUUGUGACCCAGACAGCGGCUACCCAUCAACCAGACUGCCACACAGGACAGAAAGUAUUUUCCCAUUGGGCUAGUCCAUGUCCUUCAUUUUAUUAUUACAUAAUCCAUCUUGAGAAUUUAGAAGAAUAAUAUCGCCCUCGUGCCUGGCUUAUAUAGAAAAAGGGACAGCAAGAAGACAGAUAAAGUGGAGCACAGAAAGAAGGAUGAAAUGAAAAUUAUUUGUCUAUUUUAGACAAGCAAUUUUCUCUAAUGUUCUGUUCUCUUGUUUGGUUGUUCUAGUGAGAGCUCAAGGACCUUUUAAGGUGGAACGAAUCUGGGGGUUGUUCUGGGGGAGGCAGUUAGCCUUGGGUAGCUGGAAAUAUGGGUAGGAAAAGCUGGGAACAGAGCCCAGGAGGAACCAAGUGUCCAAUGCCAACACCUGG
This 533-nucleotide long non-coding RNA is filed under the name Pan troglodytes (chimpanzee). Its description in RNAcentral is "long non-coding RNA NONPTRT006761". Lineage: Eukaryota; Metazoa; Chordata; Mammalia; Primates; Hominidae. The record is from RNAcentral.